Molecule: transfer RNA, 75 nt
Filed under: Candidatus Woesearchaeota archaeon
Lineage: Archaea; Nanobdellati; Candidatus Woesearchaeota
Description: tRNA-Glu
Rfam family: tRNA
About the family: Transfer RNA (tRNA) molecules are approximately 80 nucleotides in length.
Source: RNAcentral
CCUCCAAUGGUGUAGUCCGGCCAAUCAUGCCGGCCUUUCGAGCCGGCGACCUGGGUUCGAAUCCCGGUUGGAGGG